This 300-nucleotide ribosomal RNA is filed under the name uncultured Sulfuricella sp. RNAcentral describes it as "bacterial SSU rRNA". It matches the Rfam family "Bacterial small subunit ribosomal RNA", at positions 496 to 795 of the family's 1533-position model. Lineage: Bacteria; Pseudomonadati; Pseudomonadota; Betaproteobacteria; Nitrosomonadales; Sulfuricellaceae. The record is from RNAcentral.
UGUGGCGUAGGGUCUGCUGGCGUGGUAAUACGGUGGGGGCGUGCGUUGUUCGGAUUUAGUGGGCGGAAAGAGCACGUAGGCGGACUGUUAAGUCAGGGGUGAAAGCCCGGGGCUCAACCCCGUAACUGACUUUGAGACGGGAAGUCUUGAGUAUGGAAGAGGUGAGUGGAAGUCCGAGUGUAGAGGUGAAAUGCGUAGAUAGUCGGAGGAACACCAGUGGCGAAGGCGGCUCACUGGUCCAUUACUGACGCUGAGGUGCGAAAGCGUGGGGAGCAAACAGGAUUAGAUACCCUAGUAGUC